Small nuclear RNA from Balaenoptera acutorostrata (minke whale), 104 nucleotides. The record is from RefSeq and is a predicted model, not a curated record. NCBI's taxonomy places the organism in Eukaryota, Metazoa, Chordata, Mammalia, Artiodactyla, Balaenopteridae.
AUAAUAAGAGCAGCAUGUAUACUAAAAUUGGAAGGAUACAGAGAAGAUUAGCAUGGCCCCUGCACAAGAGUGACAAGCAAAUUUGUGAAGCGUUCCAUAUUUUU